GGUCAAUUGCAGCCGAUUUCAUUAUGUGAGCAGAAAUUUUUUUAUCUGAAAUUGCAAGCUUUCUGCCUUUCUUAGCAUUUUUGUCAAAUUUCAAAUUAGAUUUCCUUCUUCUUCUGUCAUAUGUAAACUGCUUUCAAAUUGUUUGUGAUCUCCAUCUCCCUGUCUGCCUCUGAAAAUGGAACCCCAUCUCUUCCCAACCAUGCCUUUGAUUUUCAUCAUAACCAUAAUGUUCCUCUGUCCUCUGUUUGUGUCUGCUGUUGAUGAGCGACAUCAGAACUGCACCGCAACAUUUGAUUGCGGAAACAUCACAAAUAUCGGCUAUCCCUUUUGGGGAUCGAACCGACCUGAUUAUUGCGGCCACCCGAAAUUCUGGCUUAAUUGCACUGACCAAGCGGCGCUGAUCACCAUCAAGAAUUUAA
RNAcentral lists this unclassified non-coding RNA (419 nucleotides) under Hevea brasiliensis (rubber tree). The record is from RNAcentral. Lineage: Eukaryota; Viridiplantae; Streptophyta; Magnoliopsida; Malpighiales; Euphorbiaceae.